RNAcentral lists this long non-coding RNA (894 nucleotides) under Anser brachyrhynchus (Pink-footed goose). RNAcentral describes it as "lncRNA (ENSABRG00000006500.1)". Lineage: Eukaryota; Metazoa; Chordata; Aves; Anseriformes; Anatidae. The record is from RNAcentral.
CAGGCUAUGGGGCGGGCUAUGGGGCAGGCAAUGCAUUGGGCUAUGGGGCGGGCUGUGGGUCCUGCCAUGGGUCUCGCUAUGGGGCAGGCUAUGGGGCAGGCAAUGCAUUGGGCUAUGGGGCAGGCUAUGGGGUGGGCUAUGGGGCGGGCUAUGGGUCUCACUAUGGGUCUGGCCGUGGGUCUCGCUAUGGGGCAGGCUAUGGGUCCUGCCAUGGGUCUCACCAUGGAUCUCACUAUGGGGCAGGCUAUGGGGCAGGCUAUGGGGCGGGCUAUGGGGUUGGGCUGUGGGUCGCACUAUGGGUCAGGCAAUGCAUUGGGCUAUAGGGUGGGCUAUGGGGCGGGCUAUGGGUCCUGCUGUGGGUCUGGCCGUGGGUCUCACUAUGGGGUGGGCUAUGGGGCGGGCUAUGGGUCCCACCAUGGGUCUUGCUAUGGAUCUCACUAUGGGGCGGGCUAUGGGGCAGGCUAUGGGUCCUGCCAUGGGUCUCACUAUGGGGUGGGCUAUGGGUCAGGCAAUGCAUUGGGCUAUGGGGUGGGCUAUGGGUCCUGCCAUGGGUCCGGCCGUGGGUCUCACUAUGGGGUGGGCUAUGGGGCGGGCUAUGGGGCAGGCAACAUAUUGGGCUAUGGGUCAGGCAAUGUAUUGGGCUAUGGGGUGGGCUAUGGGGCAGGCUGUGGGUCAGGCAAUGUAUUGGGCUAUGGGGCGGGCUAUGGGGUGGGCUAUGGGUUACACUGUGGGUCAGGCAACAUAUUGGGCUAUGGGGUGGGCUAUGGGGCAGGCAACGCAUUGGGCUAUGGGGCAGGCUAUGGGGCGGGCUGUGGGUCCUGCCAUGGGUCCAGCUGUGGGUCUCACUAUGGGGUGGCCUAUGGGGUGGCCUAUGGGUCUCACUAUGGGUCUCAC